UGGAGAGGCCACAGCUGCUGGCUUCCUGGGCUUCUCCAAACUCCUGUGUGUCGCCACUGCCACCGGCAGGGAGCCAGGAGAGAGACAGAAAGGGGCUGAGAGAGAAUGAUCAAAAGGAGAGCCCACCCUGGUGCGGGAGGCGACAGGACCAGGCCUCGACGGCGCCGUUCCACUGAGAGCUGGAUUGAAAGAUGUCUCAACGAAAGUGAAAACAAACGUUAUUCCAGCCACACAUCUCUGGGGAAUGUUUCUAAUGAUGAAAAUGAGGAAAAAGAAAAUAAUAGAGCAUCCAAGCCCCACUCCACUCCUGCUACUCUGCAAUGGCUGGAGGAGAACUAUGAGAUUGCAGAGGGGGUCUGCAUCCCUCGCAGUGCCCUCUAUAUGCAUUACCUGGAUUUCUGCGAGAAGAAUGAUACCCAACCUGUCAAUGCUGCCAGCUUUGGAAAGAUCAUAAGGCAGCAGUUUCCUCAGUUAACCACCAGAAGACUCGGGACCCGAGGACAGUCAAAGUACCAUUACUAUGGCAUUGCAGUGAAAGAAAGCUCCCAAUAUUAUGAUGUGAUGUAUUCCAAGAAAGGAGCUGCCUGGGUGAGUGAGACGGGCAAGAAAGAAGUGAGCAAACAGACAGUGGCAUAUUCACCCCGGUCCAAACUCGGAACACUGCUGCCAGAAUUUCCCAAUGUCAAAGAUCUAAAUCUGCCAGCCAGCCUGCCUGAGGAGAAGGUUUCUACCUUUAUUAUGAUGUACAGAACACACUGUCAGAGAAUACUGGACACUGUAAUAAGAGCCAACUUUGAUGAGGUUCAAAGUUUCCUUCUGCACUUUUGGCAAGGAAUGCCGCCCCACAUGCUGCCUGUGCUGGGCUCCUCCACGGUGGUGAACAUUGUCGGCGUGUGUGACUCCAUCCUCUACAAAGCUAUCUCCGGGGUGCUGAUGCCCACCGUGCUGCAGGCAUUACCUGACAGCUUAACUCAGGUGAUUCGAAAGUUUGCCAAGCAACUGGAUGAGUGGCUAAAAGUGGCUCUCCACGACCUCCCAGAAAACUUGCGAAACAUCAAGUUCGAAUUGUCGAGAAGGUUCUCCCAAAUUCUGAGACGGCAAACAUCACUAAAUCAUCUCUGCCAGGCAUCUCGAACAGUGAUCCACAGUGCAGACAUCACGUUCCAAAUGCUGGAAGACUGGAGGAACGUGGACCUGAACAGCAUCACCAAGCAAACCCUUUACACCAUGGAAGACUCUCGCGAUGAGCACCGGAAACUCAUCACCCAAUUAUAUCAGGAGUUUGACCAUCUCUUGGAGGAGCAGUCUCCCAUCGAGUCCUACAUUGAGUGGCUGGAUACCAUGGUUGACCGCUGUGUUGUGAAGGUGGCUGCCAAGAGACAAGGGUCCUUGAAGAAAGUGGCCCAGCAGUUCCUCUUGAUGUGGUCCUGUUUCGGCACAAGGGUGAUCCGGGACAUGACCUUGCACAGUGCCCCCAGCUUCGGGUCUUUUCACCUAAUUCACUUAAUGUUUGAUGACUACGUGCUCUACCUGUUAGAAUCUCUGCACUGUCAGGAGCGGGCCAAUGAGCUCAUGCGAGCCAUGAAGGGAGAAGGAAGCACUGCAGAAGUCCGAGAAGAGAUCAUCUUGACAGAGGCUGCCGCACCAACCCCUUCACCAGUGCCAUCGUUUUCUCCAGCAAAAUCUGCCACAUCUGUGGAAGUGCCACCUCCCUCUUCCCCUGUUAGCAAUCCUUCCCCUGAGUACACUGGCCUCAGCACUACAGGUAAUGGAAAGUCCUUCAAAAACUUUGGGGAGUUAAUGUUUGAAGAAAGGGCUUUCUGCCAGCCUGGGCAACAUAGUGAGACUUCAUUUCCACACACUCAAAAAGCCAGACAUCUUGGCUCACACCUGUAGUCCCAGCUACUUGGGAGGCUGAGGUGGGAGGAUUGCUUGAGCCCAGGAGCUACGAUCGCACCACUGCAUUCUAGCCUUGGUGAUACAGUGAGACCCUGUCUCAAAAAAAGAAAAAAAGGGCUUUCUGGAAAAACAUUCUUCUCCCACAAUCUCCAAAAGAUAAUGCCAAGACCUGGGUAUCUUCCUGGAUUUGUGAAUGACGUACAGGUAUUCAUUUAUUCAUUGGUACACAUUCUGUAUGCUGCUGUUUUCAAGUUGGCAAAUUAAGCAUAUGAUAAAAUCCCAAAACU
RNAcentral lists this small RNA (2186 nucleotides) under Pan troglodytes (chimpanzee). Its description in RNAcentral is "retained intron". The record is from RNAcentral. Lineage: Eukaryota; Metazoa; Chordata; Mammalia; Primates; Hominidae.